AGUGGGGGAUAACGUUCGGAAACGGACGCUAAUACCGCAUACGUCCUACGGGAGAAAGCAGGGGACCUUCGGGCCUUGCGCUAUCAGAUGAGCCUAGGUCGGAUUAGCUAGUUGGUGAGGUAAUGGCUCACCAAGGCGACGAUCCGUAACUGGUCUGAGAGGAUGAUCAGUCACACUGGAACUGAGACACGGUCCAGACUCCUACGGGAGGCAGCAGUGGGGAAUAUUGGACAAUGGGCGAAAGCCUGAUCCAGCCAUGCCGCGUGUGUGAAGAAGGUCUUCGGAUUGUAAAGCACUUUAAGUUGGGAGGAAGGGUUGUAGAUUAAUACUCUGCAAUUUUGACGUUACCGACAGAAUAAGCACCGGCUAACUCUGUGCCAGCAGCCGCGGUAAUACAGAGGGUGCAAGCGUUAAUCGGAAUUACUGGGCGUAAAGCGCGCGUAGGUGGUUUGUUAAGUUGGAUGUGAAAUCCCCGGGCUCAACCUGGGAACUGCAUUCAAAACUGACUGACUAGAGUAUGGUAGAGGGUGGUGGAAUUUCCUGUGUAGCGGUGAAAUG
This 558-nucleotide ribosomal RNA is filed under the name Pseudomonas sp. RNAcentral's name for it is "bacterial SSU rRNA". It matches the Rfam family "Bacterial small subunit ribosomal RNA", at positions 135 to 688 of the family's 1533-position model. Lineage: Bacteria; Pseudomonadati; Pseudomonadota; Gammaproteobacteria; Pseudomonadales; Pseudomonadaceae. The record is from RNAcentral.